AGAGAGAGAGAGAGAGAGAGAGCGUCUCUCCCCAGUCAGGCUGCCACGCACACCGCUGCGUGCCCUCCCGCCGGCAUAGCUCCCCCGGCUCCUCCGCUGCCUCCCGCGAACCAGCGGCGCGUAAUCUGCGUGGAAACGCCGCGUUUUAGGGCGUGAGGGCGGAAGUUUGGGUGAGCGGAGCGGCGCGGAGGACGGGAGGAGACGAUGAUGAUUACUACUAUUUCCGAAGUGCUGUCCGCGGCCGCAAUCCUCCCUGCCGAGCGCCCGGCGCUUUUCACGGAGGAUUUGGCCCCGCCGGCCUCCUGCCCUGCCCAAUCUCUCUGCACACUGUGCUCAGGGGCUGCCGGUGGAGGGAAGUAUGGCCAUGGCGAAAUGGGACUUUUCUUUCUCUCUUCCCUGCCUCCCUCCAGCAAGAUUGAAACGCCGUGAAGAGAAAUGAAAACCUGCAGAACGCUUUCCCAAAUAAUUUAGGUGAAAAUUUGAGUACAGAAAUAUGCAUAUAUAUACCCCCGUAAGAAAAAAAAAGAUGGAUUGAAUUUAG
Molecule: long non-coding RNA, 541 nt
Filed under: Gallus gallus (chicken)
Lineage: Eukaryota; Metazoa; Chordata; Aves; Galliformes; Phasianidae
Description: long non-coding RNA NONGGAT011994
Source: RNAcentral